Manis javanica (Malayan pangolin) is the source of this 803-nucleotide long non-coding RNA. RefSeq lists it as uncharacterized. NCBI's taxonomy places the organism in Eukaryota, Metazoa, Chordata, Mammalia, Pholidota, Manidae. The record is from RefSeq and is a predicted model, not a curated record.
CGCAGCCAAUCGGCGGCCGCGCAGCUUCGUUUGCCCUCCUGCUUAUAAUAACAGUUGUUCUCUUGGCGCAAACGCGCUACUCGUGGCGGAAGUGAUGGCAAGCUUCCGCCGGGCGCGUAGUAGGGUGAGAGGAAGGGGACAAACUUGGAGUGGAAAGUGACACGAGCGCAGGGAGGCGCUCAGGAGACUGAAGAACCGCGGCGUCUGAGGCGAAAGCUGAGGCUGGACGUGAGCGUCGCCCAGUCUGUUGCAAUUUGUCCCCUUGAGCUGAGUAGAACACGGUCCUGCCGUCCCCGAGGCGUUCUUUCGAGCCCAGACCACCCCCCGGGAGCUCCAAGCCGCUCAGGAUUUAGCCCCUGCUUGUUUUCUCCCCUGCAAGUUCGUAGGACCUUGUUCAGGAUCUUAACUCUGCUGUAAUUUAGUGUCUUAUCCUGCUCUGCACCUUCUUUUGACAAAUGUGAGCCCUGAGACCCAAAGAAUCCCUGGUGGCACGCAGCACUAGAGACAAAUUGAUCACUCUGUCAUAGGAUGUUGGAAGAAUAAGAAGCCCAUGGUCAGAGACAGAAAAGGAACUUGGAAUGUCCACACUUGGCUCACCAAAGAGGCCCGGCUCAGGGGCAGCUUGGACCCAGGAUAGGCUUGAACUUGGCAGUUUUCCUGUGCCCAGCCCAGGAGAGCAGGCUGGAACACGGUGUCCUGGGAGCUCUCUGGAGAAGCAGCAGCGCCAUGCCCAUCUCCAGUCUCUUGGUCUCACCACUAAGGAGGCCUGGAGAAACGGCACAGUCGGCAGAGGAAAGGCCCCU